RNAcentral lists this signal recognition particle RNA (98 nucleotides) under Candidatus Treponema caballi. RNAcentral's name for it is "signal recognition particle sRNA small type". It matches the Rfam family "Bacterial small signal recognition particle RNA". From Rfam's summary of the family: The signal recognition particle (SRP) is a universally conserved ribonucleoprotein involved in the co-translational targeting of proteins to membranes. Archaeal SRP consists of a 7S RNA and homologues of the eukaryotic SRP19 and SRP54 proteins. In most bacteria, the SRP consists of a 4.5S RNA and the Ffh protein (a homologue of the eukaryotic SRP54 protein). Lineage: Bacteria; Pseudomonadati; Spirochaetota; Spirochaetia; Treponematales; Treponemataceae. The record is from RNAcentral.
GUUCAGGUCCUAUGCAAAGUCCGCUUUCAAACCCUGUCAGGUCCGGAAGGAAGCAGCAGUAGAUAGUUGGUACUUGUGCCGUAGUGCACCUGAACUCU